Molecule: small RNA, 31 nt
Filed under: Bombyx mori (domestic silkworm)
Lineage: Eukaryota; Metazoa; Arthropoda; Insecta; Lepidoptera; Bombycidae
Description: ovarian small RNA-10624
Source: RNAcentral
AAGGACAAGAUCACCCACAUUUAGCUGGGUA